Molecule: ribosomal RNA, 1226 nt
Filed under: gut metagenome
Description: bacterial LSU rRNA
Rfam family: Bacterial large subunit ribosomal RNA
Source: RNAcentral
GGAUAUAGCUGGUUCUCCCCGAAAUAGGUUUAGGCCUAGCCUUGAUUUUAUAUAUGUGGAGGUAGAGCACUGAAUGUGCGAUGGCGCCGUCUAGGUGUACUGAGUACAAACAAACUCCGAAUGCCACAUAAGAGUAAUCAGGAGUCAGUGUAUGGGUGAUAACGUCCAUACGCGAAAGGAAAAGAAUCCAGAUCGCCAGUUAAGGUCCCAAAAUUGUGUUAAGUGGAAAAGGAUGUGGAGUUGUAAAAACAGCUAGGAGGUUGGCUUAGAAGCAGCCAUCCUUUAAAGAGUGCGUAAUAGCUCACUAGUCGAGUGAAACUGCGCCGAAGAUGUACCGGGGCUAAACACAAUACCGAAACUGCGGACUUGUACGUAAGUAUGAGUGAUAGGGGAGCGUUGUAAUUGCGAAGAAGGUAUACCGUGAGGAGUGCUGGAGCGAUUAGAAGUGAGAAUGCCGGUGUGAGUAACGAAAAAUGGGUGGAAAUCCCAUUCACCGAUUGACUAAGGGUUCCUGGGUAAAGUUCGUCUUCCCAGGGUAAGUCAGGACCUAAGAUGAGGCCUAAAGGCGUAGUCGAUGGACAAUAGGUAUAUAAUCCUAUACCACCUAUAUAACUGAAGGAGUGACGAAGGAGGCUAGCUAAAGCCAAUUAAUGGAUUUUGGUCUAAGCACAAAGGCUUGUACGGAGUAAAAUGCACGAUACAAAAGAGCUGAAGUGUGAUGGGGAAGUGAUACUUUCGGGUAGAGCGAAGUUAAGUGACGCCAAACUUCCAAGAAAAGCUUCUAGGGCUAAUUAUAUAGGUGCCUGUACCGAUAACCGACACAGGUGGUCAAGGAGAGAAUCCUAAGGUGAGCGAGAGAACUAUGGUUAAGGAACUCGGCAAAAUGACCCCGUAACUUCGGGAGAAGGGGUGGUCAAGAAGAUAAUGCAGUAAUGUAUGAAAAUAAAUUGACCCGCAGUGAAUAGGUCCAGGCAACUGUUUACCAAAAACACAGGUUUCUGCAAACACGAAAGUGGAAGUAUAGGAGCUGACGCCUGCCCAGUGCUGGAAGGUUAAAGGGAAGUGUUCGUAGCAAUACAAAGCACCGAACUGAAGCCCCAGUGAACGGCGGCCGUAACUAUAACGGUCCUAAGGUAGCGAAAUUCCUUGUCAGGUAAGUUCUGACCCGCACGAAAGGCGUAAUGAUCUGGAUACUGUCUCAACCAUAGACUCGGUGAAAUCUUAAU